Molecule: long non-coding RNA, 2161 nt
Filed under: Anser cygnoides (Swan goose)
Lineage: Eukaryota; Metazoa; Chordata; Aves; Anseriformes; Anatidae
Description: lncRNA (ENSACDG00005007686.1)
Source: RNAcentral
GGGGGGUUUGGGGAACACUGGGGGAUAGUGGGAGGGAUUUGGGGGGGUACUGGGAGGUAUUGGAGGGAUAGUGGGAGCACUGGGAGGGAUUUGAGGGGUACUGGGAGCACGGGGAGGAGGUUUGGGAGGACUUUAAGUGUUACUGGGAGCACUGGGAGGGAUUUGAGGGGUACUGGGAGCACUGGGAGGUGUUGGAGGUGCACCGGGGGUGGCUUGGGGGUUUACUGGGAGCACUGGGAGGGAUUUCGGGGGUACUGGGAGCACGGGAAGGAGGUUUGGGAGGGACACUGGGGGUUACUGGGAGCUCUGGGAGGGAUUUUGGGGGUACUGGGAGCACUGGGAAGAGGUUUGGGAGGGAUUUUUGGGCUUCUGGGAGCACUGGGAGGGAUUUCAGGGGUACUGGGAGCAACUGGGAGGGAUUUGAGGGGUACUGGGAGCACUGGGAGGAGGUUUGGGAGAGACACUGGAGGGUAUUGGGGGCACUGGGAGGAACUGGGAGGUACUGGGAGCACUGGGAGGGCGUUUUGGGGGAACACCAGGGGGUACUGGGAGGGAUCUGUGGGGCACUGGGAGGUAUUGGAGGGAUACUGGGAGCACUGGGGGGAGGUGUGGGGGGAGGGCUCGGGGGGUUACUGGGAGGCACUGGGAGGCACUGGGAGGCACUGGGAGCCCGGUGGCCUUCCCGUGUCCCCGGGAGCCUUUGCGGCAGGAAACGCCGCUCGCCCGCCACCAUUGUCAGGGCCGGCAAAAAAAACGACCCCGUUUUGGGUGAAAAAACGCCCGGAUUGGGGCCCACCGGUGCCAGGGAGCUGCUGCGGCUCUCGUGAAUCCGUCCCCGUCGGAUUUGGGGUGAAAAAGGGCAAAAACGGGCCGAUCGCUGGCGGCGAGCGGCUGGGGGAGUUAAGCGGCGCGUGGAUUGCGUUUUGGGGCGCCGCCAUGGAGGCCGGGGGUCCCCGUCGGGACGGGGCCGUCCCCAGCGAGCCCCGCGGCGCAGGUGAGGACGCGGGGCGCGGGGAGCUCCUCGGGGACGGGGGGUUUUUGGGGCAAAAAGGCGGGAAUUUGGGGAAAAAAAACACAAAAAGGGGUGGUCUUCUGCUGGGAGUGGCCCUUCGUGGUCACGGGUGGCCACCAGGAGAUGUUCUCCGUGGAGGAACGUCGUGACGUGGUCACGGGUGACCACCAGGAGAUGUUCUCCGUGGAGGAACAUCUCGACAUGGUCAUGGGUGACCACCAGGAGACGUUCUCCACGGAGAACAUCUCCACAUGGUUGGUUGAUGACCCACCAAGACGUUCUCCAUGGAGGAACAUCUCUACGUGGCCAUACCUUGACCUCCUAUGAGAUGUUCCUCCAUGGAGAACACCUCUACAUGGUCACACGAUGACCCACCAGACGUUCUCCAUGGAGGAACAUCUCUACGUGGCCAUACCUUGACCUCCUAUGAGAUGUUCCUCCAUGGAGAACACCUCUACAUGGUUGUUUGAUGACCCACCAGAUGUUCUCCAUGGAGGAACAUCUCUACAUGGCCAUACCUUGACCUCCUAUGAGAUGUUCCUCCACGGAGAACAUCUCCACAUGGUUAUUUGAUGACCGACCAAGACGUUCUCCAUGGAGGAACAUCUCUACGUGGCCAUACCUUGACCUCCUAUGAGAUGUUCCUCCAUGGAGAACAUCUCCACAUGGUUGUUUGAUGACCCACCAGACGUUCUCCAUGGAGGAACAUCUCUAUGUGGCCAUAACUUGACCUACUAUGAGAUGUUCCUCCAUGGUGGAACACCUCUACAUCGUUGUUUGAUGACCCACCAAGACGUUCUCCAUGGAGGAACAUCUCUACAUGGCCAUACGUUGACCUCCUAUGAGAUGUUCCUCCACGGAGAACAUCUCCACAUGGUUAGUUGAUGACCCACCAAGAUGUUCUCCGUGGAGGAACAUCUCUACACGGCCAUAUGUUGACCUCCUAUGAGAUGUUCCUCCACGGAGAACAUCUCCACAUGGUUGGUUGAUGACCCACCAAGAUGUUCUCUGUGGAGGAACAUCUCUACAUGGCCAUACCUUGACCUCCUAUGAGAUGUUCCUCCACGGAGAACAUCUCCACAUGGUUGGUUGAUGACCCACCAAGACGUUCUCUGUGGAGGAACAUCUCUACAUGGCCAUAUGUUGACC